This 817-nucleotide ribosomal RNA is filed under the name Alcanivorax sp. VKRKCd4. Its description in RNAcentral is "bacterial SSU rRNA". It matches the Rfam family "Bacterial small subunit ribosomal RNA", at positions 1 to 846 of the family's 1533-position model. The record is from RNAcentral. Lineage: Bacteria; Pseudomonadati; Pseudomonadota; Gammaproteobacteria; Oceanospirillales; Alcanivoracaceae.
GCGAUGGGUCGCUCCUUCUUCUCUGCAGAUCGACUACUUCGAGCGGAACGAUGGGAGCUUGCUCCCAGGCGUCGAGCGGCGGACGGGUGAGUAACACGUGGGAAUCUGCCCAUUAGUGGGGGAUAACUCGGGGAAACUCGAGCUAAUACCGCAUAAUCCCUACGGGGGAAAGCAGGGGAUCUUCGGACCUUGCGCUGAUGGAUGAGCCCGCGUCGGAUUAGCUUGUUGGUGGGGUAAUGGCCCACCAAGGCGACGAUCCGUAACUGGUCUGAGAGGAUGGCCAGUCACACCGGGACUGAGACACGGCCCGGACUCCUACGGGAGGCAGCAGUGGGGAAUCUUGGACAAUGGGCGCAAGCCUGAUCCAGCCAUGCCGCGUGUGUGAAGAAGGCCUUCGGGUUGUAAAGCACUUUCAGUAGGGAGGAAGGCUUUGGGCUAAUACCCUGGAGUACUUGACGUUACCUACAGAAGAAGCACCGGCUAAUUUCGUGCCAGCAGCCGCGGUAAUACGAAAGGUGCGAGCGUUAAUCGGAAUUACUGGGCGUAAAGCGCGCGUAGGCGGUGUGUUAAGUCGGAUGUGAAAGCCCAGGGCUCAACCUUGGAAUUGCAUCCGAUACUGGCACGCUAGAGUGCAGUAGAGGGAGGUGGAAUUUCCGGUGUACGGUGAAAUGCGUAAGAUCGGAGGGAACACCGGUGGCGAAGGCGGCCUCUGGACUGACACUGACCUGAAGUGCCAAAGCGUGGGGAGCAACAGGAUUAAUACCCGGUAUCCCCCCGAAAGAUGUCUACUAACCGUUGGGGUCCUUAUGAUUUGUGG